CCCGAUUCCCCCCCUCCUCAUGCUGUGCAACAGGUCCAGUACCUUGCGUGUGUUGUCUGACCCCUGCCUUCCAGCUACGAAGCCCACCUGGUCCGUAUGGAUCAGGUGGGGUAGUAUGCGGCUCAGUCGUUGUGCAUGGACCUUGGCAUAUAUCUUGGCGUCGGUGUUGAGGAGCGAUAUCGGACGGAAGUUGGGGCAGUGAGUUGGUGGUUUGCCUGGCUUGGGGAGGGUAAUAACAUGUGCCGUGAGUAAUUCCUUGGGGAGUGUGCUAGUUUGGGUGGCAUAGUUGAAUAGUUGCGCAAGGUAAGGUGAUAGAAUGUGUUGGAAUUUCUGGUAGUAAAGGU
Non-coding RNA from Pelobates cultripes (western spadefoot toad), 344 nucleotides. The record is from the annotation of a GenBank genome assembly. Lineage: Eukaryota; Metazoa; Chordata; Amphibia; Anura; Pelobatidae.